GACGAACGCUUGCGACGUGCCUAAGAAAUGCAAGUCGAACGGGGGAGCAACCCCUAGUGGCGAACGGUCGCGUAACACGUGGGCAACCUGCCCUGAAGCGGGGGACAACAGUCCGAAAGGGCUGCUAAUACCGCAUGUGAAGGGGAAUGGCAUCAUUCCUUGUUCAAAGCUUUAUGCACUUCAGGAUGGGCCCGCGGCCUAUCAGCUUGUUGGUGGGGUAAUGGCCCACCAAGGCGACGACGGGUAGCCGGCCUGAGAGGGCGACCGGCCACACUGGGACUGAGACACGGCCCAGACUCCUACGGGAGGCAGCAGUGGGGAAUAUUGCGCAAUGGGCGGAAGCCUGACGCAGCGACGCCGCGUGAGGGAUGAAGGCCUU
Molecule: ribosomal RNA, 379 nt
Filed under: uncultured bacterium
Lineage: Bacteria
Description: bacterial SSU rRNA
Rfam family: Bacterial small subunit ribosomal RNA
Source: RNAcentral